GACUCCUACGGGAGGCAGCAGUGGGGAAUCUUGCGCCAUGGGCGAAAGCCUGACGCAGCAACGCCGCGUGGGGGAUGACGGCCUUCGGGUUGUAAACCCCUUUCGGUCCCGACGAAGGCUCCUGUUGUCAGGGGUUGACGGUAGGGUCAGAAGAAGCACCGGCUAACUACGUGCCAGCAGCCGCGGUAAU
This 190-nucleotide ribosomal RNA is filed under the name uncultured Saccharopolyspora sp. Its description in RNAcentral is "partial 16S ribosomal RNA". It matches the Rfam family "Bacterial small subunit ribosomal RNA", at positions 334 to 524 of the family's 1533-position model. The record is from RNAcentral. Lineage: Bacteria; Bacillati; Actinomycetota; Actinomycetes; Pseudonocardiales; Pseudonocardiaceae.